CACCUUCACAAAUAAGAUACCGUGGGUAAUACGACUGUAGCCUUGAGUUCAUCUUCUUGAUCGUGGAUCCUGUUCAUCAGACUCCCAAAAGGAUUUGUCAGCAUUACUGGCAACUAAACGCAAAACAGUGAGCCAAAAGUGACAGUUCUAUUCAGUUAAAUUUAGGUCAUAGUAAUGCCAAACUUAUUCACAAGUGUCCACAUGACUGACAAACAUAUUAUCAAAUCUUUGAUAUUGUUAAAAAGUGUUGAAUUCACAAGCUAGAAGAACUAAUAAACUCCAGUGAUUCAUCCCUUCACUUUAUGAAAAAUCUUAAUAAAUCUACGGAACCAAGCCACGCGUUUUCUAUACGGUCACGAUUUCCUUUGUAACUUGUAUUGUUCGUUUUCGAUCAUGUAACUGGUUUAUUUCUAAGUGAAAUGCUUGUUCUUUCAGACUUGCUAAUGAUUUACUGUUUCGUGUGCUCUUGAAUAUUUUAGAUAUUUUUGUACACUGGAUUUUGUAUUGAGUGAAUUUAUGUAUUAUUUUGUAAAUUUGGGCAACUUUCUAAUUUUUUUUUAGUUAUUUUUGUUAAUAAGUAUGUGUCGUGAUCCCUAGCUUCCGCUUUUCUACCGUGAUGGACUUGUUCAUUUAGGUUUAAAAAGUAUAAUUUUCUAAUUUUUUUUUCAACGAAUUAAAAAAAAUUAUCUUUCGCACAGCAAAUAAUUUUGUAGCAAGUUAAAAAGAAUACAUAUGAGACAUUACUACUACGAAAUACAAAACCUCACAGAAAAAUAAAAGAAACUGAUAUUUUGUGUUUGGAUGUCGGCGGCACCAAUAUAUCCUGGCGGGCUUUGAUUAUAACUACACCAGUUCUUUUAUAAAGUACUUCGUAAAAUACGAUUUGAGUGAAACAAUCUUGAUCACCAGAUUUUCAAUAUUUUUAAUAUUAACCGAACUAAUCUGGAUUACGAUCUUUUGCAAAUAUGUUUUACAGUAUAUUGCAAUAUACGUGCGCACGGGGUAAGCUGCGAGACUCAAGAAUGCAAGUGAAGCGGUCCGGUAGGCAGUACGGAAAAGUCUGGUCUGGAAUCAUCAGAAACUUCGAGUUUCGUUGUGAAGGGAAAAUGAAGAAUGGUCUGUUAAUAUACAAUAGAAAUACUUAUAGAUACAAUGCCAUUGACCAAGACAUACUAGUAAAAAAAAUCAGACUUGAAAAAAUAAUCGUAUAUCUAUCUCUCUCUAUCGUUCUGUGAACAUUUUAACAGCACUAAAGAUUCAAACAGCGUUGAAUUCGUCCGGAAUAGUUCCGUAUGUGAGCCCAAGAAACUCUUUACAACAUAGUCGCUCCGGGAGAUGGAAAACUUGACAGAAAAACUACACGGCGGUCCAUACUUUUGAGGUUGUUAACGAGAUGGCAGAGCGCAUGUAACCACAAAAUGCCACGACGACUUCAUUUACGGAUUAAUUCAGCGGUUAUGUUAAAGUCGUAACAUACAGAGAGAGAGCCCGAGAAAGACAAGAAUGUCAUCAACAACAAUAUACACAAGGACUAUCUGAGUUUCUAGAACGACCCAUAAAUAAUCACAGACCGACGAUAAACUUAAGAUUUUAUAUACAAGUGUGAUUGAAAUAAUGAUUAUUAUUUUUAACUUUAAAGUGAUUUUAAGAGUUAUUUAAUGAAUCUUUUAUUCUUUCUU
Bombyx mori (domestic silkworm) is the source of this 1679-nucleotide long non-coding RNA. RefSeq lists it as uncharacterized. The transcript is spliced from 3 exons. NCBI's taxonomy places the organism in Eukaryota, Metazoa, Arthropoda, Insecta, Lepidoptera, Bombycidae. The record is from RefSeq and is a predicted model, not a curated record.